RNAcentral lists this ribosomal RNA (253 nucleotides) under uncultured bacterium. Its description in RNAcentral is "partial 16S ribosomal RNA". It matches the Rfam family "Bacterial small subunit ribosomal RNA", at positions 524 to 776 of the family's 1533-position model. The record is from RNAcentral.
UACGAAGGGGGCUAGCGUUGCUCGGAAUCACUGGGCGUAAAGCGCACGUAGGCGGAUUGUUAAGUCAGGGGUGGAAUCCUGGAGCUCAACUCCAGAACUGCCUUUGAUACUGAGAAGCUUGAGUCCGGGAGAGGUGAGUGGAACUGCGAGUGUAGAGGUGAAAUUCGUAGAUAUUCGCAAGAACACCAGUGGCGAAGGCGGCUCACUGGCCCGGUACUGACGCUGAGGUGCGAAAGCGUGGGGAGCAAACAGG